RNAcentral lists this ribosomal RNA (253 nucleotides) under uncultured bacterium. RNAcentral describes it as "partial 16S ribosomal RNA". It matches the Rfam family "Bacterial small subunit ribosomal RNA", at positions 524 to 776 of the family's 1533-position model. The record is from RNAcentral.
UACGUAGGGGGCAAGCGUUGUUCGGAAUUACUGGGCGUAAAGGGCUCGUAGGCGGCCAACUAAGUCGGAUGUGAAAUCCCCAGGCUUAACCUGGGAACUGCAUCCGAUACUGGAUGGCUUGAAUCCGGGAGAGGGAUGCGGAAUUCCAGGUGUAGCGGUGAAAUGCGUAGAUAUCUGGAGGAACACCGGUGGCGAAGGCGGCAUCCUGGACCGGCAUUGACGCUGAGGAGCGAAAGCCAGGGGAGCAAACGGG